AAACUACAGAAAUAACCACUUUUCCAUAAAAAACAAGGUCUAAAUCAUGUUUGAUGCACUCUGGAUACAAUGUUUUCAACAUAACUGUUCAAACUAGACGAUAGGGACCAUUUUCAGCAAACUGCAGCAAUUAAACUACAGAAAUAACCACUUUUCCAUAAAAAACAAGGUCUAAAUCAUGUUUGAUGCACUCUGGAUACAAUGUUUUCAACAUAACUGUUCAAACUAGACGAUAGGGACCAUUUUCAGCAAACUGCAGCAAUUAAACUACAGAAAUAACCACUUUUCCAUAAAAAACAAGGUCUAAAUCAUGUUUGAUGCACUCUGGAUACAAUGUUUUCAACAUAACUGUUCAAACUAGACGAUAGGGACCAUUUUCAGCAAACUGCAGCAAUUAAACUACAGAAAUAACCACUUUUCCAUAAAAAACAAGGUCUAAAUCAUGUUUGAUGCACUCUGGAUACAAUGUUUUCAACAUAACUGUUCAAACUAGACGAUAUAGGGACCAUUUUCAGCAAACUGCAGCAAUUAAACUACAGAAAUAACCACUUUUCCAUAAAAAACAAGGUCUAAAUCAUGUUUGAUGCACUCUGGAUACAAUGUUUUCAACAUAACUGUUCAAACUAGACGAUAUAGGGACCAUUUUCAGCAAACUGCAGCAAUUAAACUACAGAAAUAACCACUUUUCCAUAAAAAACAAGGUCUAAAUCAUGUUUGAUGCACUCUGGAUACAAUGUUUUCAACAUAACUGUUCAAACUAGACGAUAGGGACCAUUUUCAGCAAACUGCAGCAAUUAAACUACAGAAAUAACCACUUUUCCAUAAAAAACAAGGUCUAAAUCAUGUUUGAUGCACUCUGGAUACAAUGUUUUCAACAUAACUGUUCAAACUAGACGAUAGGGACCAUUUUCAGCAAACUGCAGCAAUUAAACUACAGAAAUAACCACUUUUCCAUAAAAAACAAGGUCUAAAUCAUGUUUGAUGCACUCUGGAUACAAUGUUUUCAACAUAACUGUUCAAACUAGACGAUAGGGACCAUUUUCAGCAAACUGCAGCAAUUAAACUACAGAAAUAACCACUUUUCCAUAAAAAACAAGGUCUAAAUCAUGUUUGAUGCACUCUGGAUACAAUGUUUUCAACAUAACUGUUCAAACUAGACGAUAGGGACCAUUUUCAGCAAACUGCAGCAAUUAAACUACAGAAAUAACCACUUUUCCAUAAAAAACAAGGUCUAAAUCAUGUUUGAUGCACUCUGGAUACAAUGUUUUCAACAUAACUGUUCAAACUAGACGAUAGGGACCAUUUUCAGCAAACUGCAGCAAUUAAACUACAGAAAUAACCACUUUUCCAUAAAAAACAAGGUCUAAAUCAUGUUUGAUGCACUCUGGAUACAAUGUUUUCAACAUAACUGUUCAAACUAGACGAUAUAGGGACCAUUUUCAGCAAACUGCAGCAAUUAAACUAGAGAAAUAACCACUUUUCCAUAAAAAACAAGGUCUAAAUCAUGUUUGAUGCACUCUGGAUACAAUGUUUUCAACAUAACUGUUCAAACUAGACGAUAUAGGGACCAUUUUCAGCAAACUGCAGCAAUUA
This is a long non-coding RNA of Oncorhynchus keta (chum salmon), 1593 nucleotides long. RefSeq lists it as uncharacterized. The transcript is spliced from 6 exons. NCBI's taxonomy places the organism in Eukaryota, Metazoa, Chordata, Actinopteri, Salmoniformes, Salmonidae. The record is from RefSeq and is a predicted model, not a curated record.